This 1344-nucleotide long non-coding RNA is filed under the name Homo sapiens (human). RNAcentral's name for it is "HSALNT0173986". The record is from RNAcentral. Lineage: Eukaryota; Metazoa; Chordata; Mammalia; Primates; Hominidae.
GCUGGGAGCUGUAGACCGGAGCUGUUCCUAUUCGGCCAUCUUGAAUUGUAGGCAUUUUUAAAAACAGACUCUGGAGAUGAAUCUUUUCUAGUUAUAUACUUUGUAUUACAUUUAUGCACUGUCUGCUGCCAAAGAUCUGAAACCAAUGAUCUCAUAUAUAUGGUACAGUUUUCUAGUUAUUUACAGUGGGAGAGUAAAUUAUCCAUGCUCAGAAGUAGUGUGUACUAGUCUCAGUAAGUCAAUGGGUUUCCCUGGAUCCAGGCUUGGAGAAAAUGUUUUCUCUUCUCUAUCUGCAAUUCUCCUGAACCAAUUCUGACGGAUAAUAUGACUGUGUCAACCACAAAAGAGGAAAAGAAUGGGCUUUAAAUCCCGCCUUUACAGCCAUCCAAGGCAGGAUUCCUCCUUCUGCACCUUUUUGGCACUGUUUCCUUGAGCUCUCCAUCCUAUCCAUCGAAAGUUACCCAUCCCAAAUCCUAUAUCCUCAGCAACUUUCUGGACAACUGGCUGAUCUGAAGAACCAGUUCAUACUCGUCUAUCUUGUUAUUGUGUUGACUACUCCUUCUUCAAAGGAUGGAACUUUAAGGAUGGAACCAAUUGGCUACAAAUCAUUUUAGCUGAUGCACUGAGACAAUUCUGAAGCAAACUGUCUUAUCCUGGAUUUUGUCAGUAACUGGAGUUGAAGGACUUGAAGAUUCUCAAGGAUUGAUCCAGAAUAUGUUCCAGCAAAAACUACAGCAGAGUAACUUUGACAAGAAAAAUGUUCACUUGCUACCUAAGGAGAGUCUCUGUCUCCUGACCUCUGAAUUUCGAAAUCCUCAGCUCUGGCUGCCACGCAGUGGGAACCGAAUGAGUAUGUACUGAAUGGCGAAUCCUAGUUCAGUCACUUGACUAGCUGGGUGACCUUGAGCAAGUAACUUAGCUUCUUGAAGCCUCAGUCUCCUUAUCUAUAAAAUGGGACUCAAAGGCUGAGUCGAGUAUUAAAUGAAAUAAUACACGUAAAGCACAGUGCCAAAAAUCUGGUAAUAACUCCAUCAGUAUAAGGCCACCUUAUUUGCCUUCUUUCACAAUUAUCACCAGAAUUGAAUUAAAAUUCAGAUGUGAUCAUGUCUUGAAAUGUAGAAAGAGUUAUGAAAAUGUAAGACUUACUAAGUUCACUUAUCGAACAUUUUUUGACCACCUACUAUGUGCUAUGCCUUGGACUAGGCUAGAGAUACAACAGUAAACAUCUUGACUAACGGAGAUUAUGCUGCUAUCUUGAAAUUUUGCCUGUUCCCAAAAGCCCCCAGCAUAUUAAUUUUGUUAAAUAUAUAUUCCCUUAUUAUAUAUAUAAAACAUAUAUAUCCU